Molecule: long non-coding RNA, 252 nt
Organism: Bos indicus x Bos taurus (hybrid cattle)
Lineage: Eukaryota; Metazoa; Chordata; Mammalia; Artiodactyla; Bovidae
Source: Ensembl
AUGGAGGAAGGUUGGCUGGGAGAUACAGCAACCACCUUUGGCAACUCUUAAAUCAUUUGAUCUUUCUGAGGCUUUUUUUUUUUUUUUUUUUCCCUCAGAUGAGAAACUCAGAGCUCUGCAAUCUUGGCCCCAGUGGAGAUGGAUGGAGUUAACUGACGUCUCUGCUUCGGAAGAGGCCUGGAUCUCAUAGCGGGUAUGUUCAAAACUAUUAAAGAGAAUGAUUUUUAUGACUAUAGAUACUCCAUUUGGGGU